ACUUAAUUAGUUUAUUUAAAACGUUGAUUUGUGGGAUCGAAGAAGUAAUUUUUUUAUUUUAAGUA
This 65-nucleotide transfer RNA is filed under the name Corynis sp. RNAcentral describes it as "tRNA-His". The record is from RNAcentral. Lineage: Eukaryota; Metazoa; Arthropoda; Insecta; Hymenoptera; Cimbicidae.